This is a long non-coding RNA of Harpia harpyja (harpy eagle), 701 nucleotides long. RefSeq lists it as uncharacterized. The transcript is spliced from 3 exons. Lineage: Eukaryota; Metazoa; Chordata; Aves; Accipitriformes; Accipitridae. The record is from RefSeq and is a predicted model, not a curated record.
GAAUGACCCCGCAGGCAUGGGACGGGCGGUCCCCCGCUCUCCGCGCUGAGCUCCGCUCUGCGGAAGGGAGGCAAGGGCACGCCGGCUCCUUUUGGGUGUCCACGCUCCCCACGGGGAUCUUAAGUCUUUGGGCUGUACGGGCGUGGGUGCACCCGCUUGGCAGGUUGAGAAUGCCAGGCGCGGCCCCGAGGUGAUGAAGCAAAGUGCCAACAGACUUUGGGCUGGGCAUAAGGCGUUUGCUUCGUGUACUUCAGAUGCUGGGUGGAGCAAUUGCCUCCCCACCGAGGGCAGAAACUCCACAACUCGGCACUUUUGCAGGUGGCCUUGCGCCUUUCCUAAUGUGCGAAGAGGGAUCAGACAGUGGCAGGAUCAAACUCCAGGAACAGUUAACACACAGGAGACUGACUUGUUAGUGCCUUUGCAAUUCCAGCUUUAAAAAUGAAAUUCUGUUCAAGAUAGCUGUAAAAACACCCAAGGAAUAAUUUUGGACACACACGACUGCAAUGUUCUGGCUCUGAGAGUCGCUGAGUUGGAAUCUGUAUUCAUGCCUUAACUGGCAUCAAACCUUUUCUUCCCUCUCCAGAAGCAUGCUUGCACCUAGAGAAACUGACUCCAUCAGGAUAUUAUGACCUUAUGAAUUGCUAAGUUUUUGAGAAGGCUAACUUCAUUAGUCUCUCCAGGUGAAGAAAAAUAUGUCAAGG